RNAcentral lists this long non-coding RNA (1810 nucleotides) under Homo sapiens (human). Its description in RNAcentral is "HSALNT0239951". The record is from RNAcentral. Lineage: Eukaryota; Metazoa; Chordata; Mammalia; Primates; Hominidae.
GUUCUCUAUUGCUGUAGAAAGACUGGUUAUUAGCCAUAAAUGACUGUAUUUCAUCUUGUGAGAUAAAGAUUUCCUCAUCUGAAGUACAUUCAGACUCAUCCUGCAAAUUAAAGCAGUAGUUAAGACUAUGACUUAAGAAUGCAAAAUGUUAUGUAAUGGAGGAGGACAGCUAAAAAUUAAACCAGUCUAACUUUUUAGUUUCACAUCAGUCACAUAAAGCCUUUAAUUGGAGUGUUUGCAGAAUAAGCAUCAUGUCAUUCUGCCUAAGAAAGUAGUGAGAAUAAAAUCCAACUCCUUGAGUUGAAACCUUGAAUCUAUAAUUUCUCCUAGAAGCCUAUGAGCCUAGCAAACUACCACCAUACCUUGGCCUUGAAAAAAUAACUAAUUAAAGAUGUUACAACUAGUUACCAUAUUUUAAGUAGCCAGACGUAUCUCCAGUUAGUCCUAUCUUGAAACAGUCAUCUCUACAAACUAAGUAAAAGAUAACCAUUUUCUACUUAAGAAGUAAACUUUUACAACCAUUAAAACUUUUAAACAUUAAACUUAUACAGGUGGUGGCUCACACCUGUAAUCCCAGCAUUUUGGGAGGCUGAGGCAGGAGAAUCACUUGAACCUUGGAGGCAGAGGCUACAGUGAGCCAAGAUCGUGCCACUGCACUCUAUCUAGCCUGGGCGACAGAGCGAGACUCCUCAAAAAAAAAAAAUAAAUAAAUAUUAAAACUAAACUUUACAACCAUAAAAAAGAAAAAAACUAGCUGGGCGCGGUGGCUCACGCCUGUAAUCCCAGCACUUUGGGAGGCUGAGGUGGGCAGAUCACCUGAGGUUGGGAGUUCGAGACCAGCCUGACCAACAUGGAGAAACCCAUCUCUACUAAAAAUACAAAAUUAGCCAGGCAUGGUGGCACAAGCCUGUAGUCCCAGCUACUCGGGAGGCUGAAGCCAGAGAAUCGCUUGAACCUGGGAGGCGGAGGUUGCGAUUAGCCGAGAUCGCACCAUCGCACUCCAGCCUGGGCAACAGAGCAAAACUCCACCUCAAAAAAAAGAAAAAGAAAAAAGCUAGUAUUCCGAAGGAUUUGGUUCCAUCAGGACUCUAAUGAAAAGGACACCACUCUUCUUCCUCCCCUCCUCCAAGGGCCACCUAUACUACGCACUGGGUCAGUUGGGGAUCAGGUAAAAAGUCUCAGGACUGGAGUCUUACCCUACAUGACACCUAAAAGAAGAAAGCAACCUCUAGUUCAAAUUGUAUAUUCUUUCUGGUAUGGAAGGGUGGCUACCAUAACUUGCCAAUCAGAAAGGCAAAGUUUGCUUACAGUAACCUACUUCAAGGAGGCAGACUACUGAAUACAAUGCUACCUCUAUCCUUUCUCCUAACUACAGAUGGUCCUGACUUAACAAUGGUCAAUGGUUCUACUCAGGUUUUUUUUGAGACAAAGUCUCACUCUGUCGCCAGGCUGGACUGCAGUGGCACGAUCUCAGCUCACUGAAACCUCCGCCUCCUGGCUUCAAGUGAUUCUCCUGCCUUAGCCUCCCGGGUAGCUGGGACUACUGGCACACGCCACCAUGCCCAGCUAAUUUUUGUAUUUUUAGUAGAGACGGGGUUUCAUCAUAUUGGCCAGGAUGGUCUUGAUCUCUUGACCUCAUGAUCCACCCACCUCGGUCUCCCAAAGUGCUGGGAUUACAAGCAUGAGCCACUGCACCCAGCCUUAUUUGGGAUUUUUUUUUUUUAACUUUACAAAGGGUUUAUUGGGAUGUUGAAUGUAUUUUCAACUCGCAGUAUUUUUGAGUUAUAAUGGGUUUAUUGGAAUGUAACCC